GGUGGUGUGGUCUAGUGGUAUGACGUCACGUUGUGGUUGAGAAGAGUUCUCCUUCACGCAAAACCGUGCCAGCCUGGGUGUACGUAGUUGUGCAGUCGAUUCCCAGCACCGCCA
This 114-nucleotide transfer RNA is filed under the name Friedmanniomyces endolithicus. Its description in RNAcentral is "tRNA-His". It matches the Rfam family "tRNA". From Rfam's summary of the family: Transfer RNA (tRNA) molecules are approximately 80 nucleotides in length. The record is from RNAcentral. Lineage: Eukaryota; Fungi; Ascomycota; Dothideomycetes; Mycosphaerellales; Teratosphaeriaceae.